AAUAUUGCACAAUGGAGGAAACUCUGAUGCAGCGACGCCUCGUGAAUGACGAAGGCCUUCGGGUCGUAAAAUUCUGUCCUUGGGGGCGAUAAUGACGGUACCCAUGUAGGAAGCCCCGGCUAACUACGUGCCAGCAGCCGCGGUAAUACGUAGGGGGCGAGCGUUGUCCGGAAUUAUUGGGCGUAAAGGGUUCGCAGGCGGUCAUUUAAGUCAGAUGUGAAAGGUCACGGCUCAACCGUGGUAAGCAUUUGAAACUGUGUGGCUUGUGUUAAGGAGAGGAAAGUGGAAUUCCUGGUGUAGCGGUGAAAUGCGUAGAUAUCAGGAGGAAUACCAGUGGCGAAGGCGACUUUCUGGACUUAAACUGACGCUGAGGUACGAAAGCGUGGGGAGCAAACA
This 396-nucleotide ribosomal RNA is filed under the name uncultured bacterium. RNAcentral's name for it is "partial 16S ribosomal RNA". It matches the Rfam family "Bacterial small subunit ribosomal RNA", at positions 360 to 774 of the family's 1533-position model. The record is from RNAcentral.